CUCCAAAACCCUAACAUUCACAAAAGCCACAAAUUGAAGGCUUAAAUCAUGUCCAAAUCGAUUUUCAAACAUGAAUAAACGAUUACCAAGUCAAGGGGAUCGUAAGUUUGACGCUUGACAAGCUAGGUGGAGGCUUGGAAAGGAAGCGGGUCAAACGAAGCAAAUAAGAAGGAAAAGCGUACUUCGGAUGCGAGGGGCGAAUAGUAGUUUGGGUAAUUGCGUCGCCAUAAGAAUAUCGGUAAUAAAAGCAAGGUGUCGAAACGGGUCACUAGAUUGACUCGAGCCAGGUACGUAUAAAUACGAUUGUGGUUAAACAUACAUUUUUGGGUCAAAUUAGUAGCAAAUGCCCUUCGUCGUAAAUGAGGGGCUAAAGUUGACUA
Molecule: long non-coding RNA, 380 nt
Organism: Helianthus annuus (common sunflower)
Lineage: Eukaryota; Viridiplantae; Streptophyta; Magnoliopsida; Asterales; Asteraceae
Exons: 4
Source: RefSeq, a predicted model, not a curated record